GAAUUUACCCUAAAAAAGUACUGGACAGAAAUGAUGGGGUGGAGACAAACCGUCCAAUCUAUCUGAGGAAAUGUGCAAAAGACCGAAAGCUCGCCGAUUUUGAAAACAGUCCACUUGGAUUUGGAGAAUGUAUUUAUCUUUUUUUUUUUUUUUUUUUAGGGAGAGAAUGUAUUUAUCUAGUCUUCUUCUUCUUCUUUUUCUUCGAUAGACUGUAUAUAUCUUGAACAUAUCAAGUUAUUGUCAAACACUACCAUGAAUUAACAUUGACCCACUUAGUAGGUAUAUGUCGGUGGUUUGUCAUAUAUAUAUGAUUGCGUCAUUACUCUCUUGGGUUGUUCUUUUUAUGUAGGGGUGAUUUUUAAGGUUUUUUGUUUGAGCUAGUGUUUAUGUGGCAACUAAUUUUCCCUCAUUGUAUUUUUUCAAACCCGAAUUUAUUAAUGCUUCUUGCAUGAGUUUAUUGAUUAAUAAUAUUUAUCGAUUAAAGAAAAAACAAAAUAAACAUUGACCCACUUUGUAGAAAAAAUAAUUUGGCCACAAAUGGAUUAUUUUAUGUAUUUUAGUUUAUAAAAAAGGUAAUAUUAAAAAGAUUAGUGAUCUUAUAAAAUCAUUUUAUGACAAUUCUUAUGACAACAUUCUUAUUCUUAUUCUUAUUCUUUUUCUUUUUCUUUUUCUUUUUCUUUUUUCUUUAUAAGAAAAUACAUCCCAACAUAAAUAUUGUAUAA
RNAcentral lists this long non-coding RNA (722 nucleotides) under Medicago truncatula (barrel medic). RNAcentral's name for it is "lncRNA gene6236". Lineage: Eukaryota; Viridiplantae; Streptophyta; Magnoliopsida; Fabales; Fabaceae. The record is from RNAcentral.